RNAcentral lists this ribosomal RNA (163 nucleotides) under uncultured bacterium. RNAcentral's name for it is "partial 16S rRNA". It matches the Rfam family "Bacterial small subunit ribosomal RNA", at positions 355 to 510 of the family's 1533-position model. The record is from RNAcentral.
CAGGGAAUCUUCCACAAUGGACGCAAGUCUGAUGGAGCAACGCCGCGUGAGUGAAGAAGGUCUUCGGAUCGUAAAACUCUGUUGUUAGAGAAGAACACGAGUGAGAGUAACUGUUCAUUCGAUGACGGUAUCUAACCAGCAAGUCACGGCUAACUACGUGCCA